This 512-nucleotide ribosomal RNA is filed under the name uncultured bacterium. Its description in RNAcentral is "partial 16S ribosomal RNA". It matches the Rfam family "Bacterial small subunit ribosomal RNA", at positions 28 to 507 of the family's 1533-position model. The record is from RNAcentral.
GAUGAACGCUGGCGGCGUGCCUAAUACAUGCAAGUCGAACGAAACUUCUUUAUCACCGAGUGCUUGCACUCACCGAUAAAGAGUUGAGUGGCGAACGGGUGAGUAACACGUGGGCAACCUGCCCAAAAGAGGGGGAUAACACUUGGAAACAGGUGCUAAUACCGCAUAACCAUAGUUACCGCAUGGUAACUAUGUAAAAGGUGGCUAUACUACCGCUUUUGGAUGGGCCCGCGGCGCAUUAGCUAGUUGGUAGGGUAAAGGCUUACCAAGGCAAUGAUGCGUAGCCGAAUUGAGAGGUUGAUCGGCCACAUUGGGACUGAGACACGGCCCAAACUCCUACGGGAGACAGCAGUAGGGAAUCUUCCACAAUGGGCGAAAGCCUGAUGGAGCAACGCCGCGUGGGUGAAGAAGGUCUUCGGAUCGUAAAACCCUGUUGUUAGAGAAGAAAGUGCGUGAGAGUAACUGUUCACGUUUCGACGGUAUCUAACCAGAAAGCCACGGCUAACUACGUG